CAGCCGCCGCGGUAAUUCGUAGGGUGCGAGCGUUAAUCGGAAUUACUGGGCGUAAAGCGUGCGCAGGCGGUUCGUUAAGUCUGAUGUGAAAGCCCCGGGCUCAACCUGGGAAUGGCAUUGGAAACUGGCGGGCUGGAGUAUGGCAGAGGGGGGUGGAAUUCCACGUGUAGCAGUGAAAUGCGUAGAGAUGUGGAGGAACACCGAUGGCGAAGGCAGCCCCCUGGGCCAAUACUGACGCUCAGGCACGAAAGCGUGGGGAGCAAACAGGAUUAGAUACCCUGGUAGUCCACGCCCUAAACGAUGAUCACUGGGUGUUGGGGAAGCGAUUCCUUGGUACCGUAGCUAACGCGUGAAGUGAUCCGCCUGGGGAGUACGGUCGCAAGAUUAAAACUCAAAGGAAUUGACGG
RNAcentral lists this ribosomal RNA (407 nucleotides) under uncultured bacterium. RNAcentral's name for it is "bacterial SSU rRNA". It matches the Rfam family "Bacterial small subunit ribosomal RNA", at positions 509 to 916 of the family's 1533-position model. The record is from RNAcentral.